Molecule: long non-coding RNA, 1373 nt
Organism: Papaver somniferum (opium poppy)
Lineage: Eukaryota; Viridiplantae; Streptophyta; Magnoliopsida; Ranunculales; Papaveraceae
Exons: 2
Source: RefSeq, a predicted model, not a curated record
UCAUUCUUCCGUUCUGUUUCUUCAUCUACUCUCUGCUUAUUCUAAAUCAAGGAUUUCUUCAUCAGAAAUCGAGAGAUAAGCUAUAGGUUUUUCAGCAAUCAAGGUUAAUCGUGAUUAUUUAUCAGAGAUUGAAGAUUUAGUCGUGGUUUUGAUGGCAAGAAGAAAAAUACAUCAUUUUGCAGAUGAAAGGGUUCUUUCUGUGAUGGGUUUUAAUCCAAUUUCAUUGUUGAUUUAUGGUGCUAAUUAUCGAGAUUUGAGAGGAAUUAGAUGGCUGAAGUACUCAUGAGUGGGUUUAAUAUUCUCAUAAUGGUGUUGGUUUUGGUGGUUGUAGUGCAAAUCUUGGGGGUUUUGGUAUCUGAUAGCAAUAGACAGCAAUAACGUGUUAAGACCGAGAAACAUUGGUUAAGUUAAUGAUUUGUAUCAAGGGAUUAUCAUGGGUUUUACGUUCUCAGAUUGGUUUGGUUGAAUGGUGGUUGUAUGGGUAGUCUGCAGUCUCCAUGGACGUGUAUACAUGGAAGAAGAAUGAAUCUCAAAUGCAAUAUGGGGCUAAUGAAAAUGAUUGCAAGAGAGGGUGGUUGUGUGGAUAUUGCUUCAGAGGUUCAAAGAAAUGAUAGGACAUAAAGCUUCCGUGUAAGUACUGGAUGUUAACAUGAUUACGAGACAGAUUAUGCUUAUUGAAGGUGUUACAAGGCUUGUGAACAUAUGGGUGUUGAUGACAUAUGAGACAAUGGAGAUGGAUCUGUUUACAAGAGUGAAUGGUUCUUAAUGUAAAGUGUUGAACAACGAGGUAUUAGCUCCAUGAGCUCUGCAACUGAAGAAGAGUUAUGGAUACACAGGGAAGACGAACAGGUGAUGCUGCCAUUGUUGUAUGGUUGUGAAUUGAGAGGUGUUGUGGAAAUUAAUGGAAGAAGGUGUUCAAAACAAGUGAUGUUGUCAUUGCUAUAUGACUGUGAAUCGAGAGGCGUUGUGGCAAUUAGUGGAAGAAGGUGUUCAGAUGGACAGAAAAUGAGAUGGUCAAGGAGAAUGGAACGUGGUCGGUGGCAGAGUCUGAACUAUGAAAUUAGAGUAUGACCAAUCAUAGUCCUUUGGUUUUCUGUGGCUAGAUCUAUUACACGUGCACUCUAUAAACAAGAUCUUGGCCAUUCGCUUUGUAAUGAAAUCUUUGUCGUUGAUCUUAGAUGGCUAGUUUGAGGGACUAAAACGUCUUUUAAACUGGAAAAAUAUGAUUAGGUGGAAAAUAACGGUAGCUAACUUUCCAUCCACCAUUUUUGGUCAAAACUUUCCUAGAUUUGUAAGAAAUAAAAAAAAGUGGCCUAGUUUUGUAAACCAUAGAAAAACACAGGCCUAAAUAUGUAAAAAUCCAUUUAUAGUUC